Molecule: transfer RNA, 50 nt
Filed under: Caiman latirostris (Broad-snouted caiman)
Lineage: Eukaryota; Metazoa; Chordata; Crocodylia; Alligatoridae
Description: tRNA-Lys
Source: RNAcentral
CACUAAUGAAGCUACUGAUUAGCGCUAGUCUUUUAAGCUAGAGUAGGGGG